Molecule: long non-coding RNA, 1038 nt
Organism: Cyprinodon tularosa
Lineage: Eukaryota; Metazoa; Chordata; Actinopteri; Cyprinodontiformes; Cyprinodontidae
Exons: 3
Source: RefSeq, a predicted model, not a curated record
GCCCGGGAGAGCUCACUUUAAGUGAUAUUUAUUUUCAGGUAGUGAUAAUUUGUGAGCACGUUUCCUUUAAUUGAGCCCUCGAAUUAAUAAAACGUGAGCACGUUUUAUUUUAAUUGAGUCCUCGAAUUAAUAAAACGUGAGCACGUUUUAUUUUAAUUGAGCCCUCGAAUUGAUAAAACGUGAACACGUUUUCAUUUAAUUGAGCACUCGAAUUAAUAAAACGUGAGCACAUUUUCUUUUAAUUGAGUCCUAAAUCUCGCUCACAUUUAGUCAUUUCCGACAUGCUCUCACCGCUGCUCUCACUGCUGCUGCCUGUCGCAACUUCUGUUACUCAAGCUGUUGAGAUUCGGCUAUUGUCUGCAACAUUACAGUUCAACAUUGCAGGGUCACCUGUGGUGUCCCGCCAGCUAUGGAGCCGACUGCUGAUAGCCUGAGGGACUUCUUGAAAGAUAGAGGUGUCAGCGAAGAGUUUAUUCAGAAACUCGAAAACGAAAAGAUUGAUCCAUCUGUGAUACCACUAAUGAGUGAUGGUGACUUGGCAGAGUACAUUCCUAAAUCAGGGGACCGAAUAGCUGUGGUGGCCUUUUGUAGGCGAUCCAGCACAGCCAGUAAUUCAAGAAGAGACCAUAUACUGACUCGACUGCGCCGAAGACUAUCAGCACCAGGUGUGAAGCCUUCAAAAAAUUCAACUUGGAUUGGGAAUAAGAAUGCAGAAAAAAGAGAGAGGCGGAUUGAAUUAGGAUGGAUGGAUUUUGAUUCUAAGCAACAGCAGUACAAGCAGGUGAAGGCCAUUAAAGGUGGAGGAACUAGACAUUUGACCAUUGAUAAAAACCUAACAGUGGAGGAAGUAAGGGUCAUGGCAGAAAAUAUUUUUUUUCCAGAUGGGGCAUCAAAGAACAAAAAGCUCUCAUGUUACCAUUCUGAAAUUCAGUCGUCACAGAUUGAAGUGGAGAUAUCAAGCACUAUUGAGCAACUGUACAACCUCAGUCGUGUUCGAAUACUACGACUGUAUCUCUGCACCAAGUUAAGGGAUGUACA